Molecule: long non-coding RNA, 404 nt
Filed under: Lactuca sativa (garden lettuce)
Lineage: Eukaryota; Viridiplantae; Streptophyta; Magnoliopsida; Asterales; Asteraceae
Description: long non-coding RNA (LSAT_LNC009959)
Source: RNAcentral
GAGUUUCUCUUUGGGUCAAUUUUUCCCAUCUGCAUCAUAUUGAGAUCACUGGCAGAGCCAACAGGUGAUAUGGUAGGUUUCUUCUUGAACAUGCUCGCAAUCUCCUGAUCUUUUCCCAUCUGCAUCAUAUUGAGAUCACUGGCAGAGCCAACAGGUGAUAUGGUAGGUUUCUUCUUGAACAUGCUCGCAAUCUCCUGAUCCAUCAAAGCAGCUUCCAUGAUAUAGCAUACAAGCAUCCUCUUAAAGUGGUCGAUGAUCGGACCAUAUUCAGCUUCGUUUGUUAGAAGGAUGUUGUGCAAGAUAAUCCAAUCAUGGGGAUUAAGGUUGGGAAGAUCUGCAAGUGAGAUGGCAUGUUCGGUCUUGGCAGAACCCCGUAGUACCUUGAACCGAACGUUGGUGAAGUU